This 506-nucleotide ribosomal RNA is filed under the name uncultured bacterium. RNAcentral's name for it is "partial 16S ribosomal RNA". It matches the Rfam family "Bacterial small subunit ribosomal RNA", at positions 30 to 523 of the family's 1533-position model. The record is from RNAcentral.
AUUGAACGCUGGCGGCAGGCCUAACACAUGCAAGUCGAACGGUAACAGGAAGCAGCUUGCUGCUUCGCUGACGAGUGGCGGACGGGUGAGUAAUGUCUGGGAAACUGCCCGAUGGAGGGGGAUAACUACUGGAAACGGUAGCUAAUACCGCAUAACGUCGCAAGACCAAAGAGGGGGACCUUCGGGCCUCUUGCCAUCGGAUGUGCCCAGAUGGGAUUAGCUUGUUGGUGAGGUAACGGCUCACCAAGGCGACGAUCCCUAGCUGGUCUGAGAGGAUGACCAGCCACACUGGAACUGAGACACGGUCCAGACUCCUACGGGAGGCAGCAGUGGGGAAUAUUGCACAAUGGGCGCAAGCCUGAUGCAGCCAUGCCGCGUGUAUGAAGAAGGCCUUCGGGUUGUAAAGUACUUUCAGCGGGGAGGAAGGUGUUGUGGUUAAUAUCCGCAGCAAUUGACGUUACCCGCAGAAGAAGCACCGGCUAACUCCGUGCCAGCAGCCGCCGCCG